Molecule: long non-coding RNA, 557 nt
Filed under: Gossypium raimondii (Peruvian cotton)
Lineage: Eukaryota; Viridiplantae; Streptophyta; Magnoliopsida; Malvales; Malvaceae
Description: long non-coding RNA (GRAI_LNC002329)
Source: RNAcentral
CCUAGGCCAUGAUUGCUCCAUUGCCACCUAAAAACAAAGAAGAAGAAGACAAAAUUGAAGGAUUUAAAAGAAGAAAAUGAGAGAAAAAGAGGGGGAUUCGGUUUUUGGCAGUAAAAAAAAAGAAAAAGAAAAUUUUUUUAAGCAAAAAUAGCAGCAAAAAGCCCACUGUCGUCGUCGAUCUUACGCCACCAUACCACCACUGCAUCACUACCAUCCCAACACCUAUCAAAGCAACCAAGAAGUAAAAAAAAAAAAAACAACAAGGAAAAAAAAGGAAAAAAAAAACAAAGGAAAAAAAAGAAGAAAUGGGAGAAGGAGGAGCACCACCGUGGCCGUCACACUGCUGGGAAGCAAGGUGUCGGUGAUGGAAGCAGUGCAAGGGGGCUGAACGGGGAAGAAAAAAAGAAAGAAAAAAAGAAAAAAAGAAGGGAAAAAAGAAAAAAGAAAGGGGGAAGAAAGGGAAAGAAAAAAGAGAAAAAAAACUAACAGUCGGGUCAAACUGACCCGACCCGAUCUAGCAACCCGACCUGCAACACCCAGUAGACCGCAACACCCAG